Molecule: ribosomal RNA, 657 nt
Filed under: Pseudomonas aeruginosa
Lineage: Bacteria; Pseudomonadati; Pseudomonadota; Gammaproteobacteria; Pseudomonadales; Pseudomonadaceae
Description: bacterial SSU rRNA
Rfam family: Bacterial small subunit ribosomal RNA
Source: RNAcentral
ACUGGUCUGAGAGGAUGAUCAGUCACACUGGAACUGAGACACGGUCCAGACUCCUACGGGAGCAGCAGUGGGGAAUAUUGGACAAUGGGUCGAAAGCCUGAUCCAGCCAUGCCGCGUGUGUGAAGAAGGUCUUCGGAUUGUAAAGCACUUUAAGUUGGGAGGAAGGGCAGUAAGUUAAUACCUUGCUGUUUUGACGUUACCAACAGAAUAAGCAUCCGGCUAACUUCGUGCCAGCAGCCGCGGUAAUACAAAGGGUGCAAGCGUUAAUCGGAAUUACUGGGCGUAAAGCGCGCGUAGGUGGUUCAGCAAGUUGGAUGUGAAAUCCCCGGGCUCAACCUGGGAACUGCAUCCAAAACUACUGAGCUAGAGUACGGUAGAGGGUGGUGGAAUUUCCUGUGUAGCGGUGAAAUGCGUAGAUAUAGGAAGGAACACCAGUGGCGAAGGCGACCACCUGGACUGAUACUGACACUGAGGCUGCGAAAGCGUGGGGAGCAAACAGGAUUAGAUACCCUGGUAGACCACGCCGUAAACGAUGUCGACUAGCCGUUGGGAUCCUUGAGGAUCUUAGUGGCGCAGCUAACGCGAUAAGUCGACCGCCUGGGGAGUACGGCCGCAAGGUUAAAACUCAAAUGAAUUGACGGGGGCCCGCACAAGCGG